RNAcentral lists this ribosomal RNA (1452 nucleotides) under uncultured Planctomycetota bacterium. RNAcentral describes it as "bacterial SSU rRNA". It matches the Rfam family "Bacterial small subunit ribosomal RNA". Lineage: Bacteria; Pseudomonadati; Planctomycetota. The record is from RNAcentral.
GGGCGCAAACCGAGUGGCGUAAGGGUGAGUAAUGCAUUGAUAACCUGCCUUUGAGAUGGGAAUAACAACGUUCCAAGCAAUUGGGGCUACCGAAAGGGUUGCUAAUACCCAAUAAAACUAUUGCUGCUAUUGGUAGUAAUAGUCAAAUAAAUGGGGUCGAAAGAUUUCAUUUGCUCGAAGAGGGGUCAAUGUCCUAUCAGCUAGUUGGUAGAGUAAUAGCCUACCAAGGCAAAGACGGGUAGCCGGCCUGAGAGGGUGGUCGGCCACACUGGGACUGAGACACUGCCCAGACUCCUACGGGAGGCUGCAGUCGAGAAUCUUUCGCAAUGCCCGAAAGGGUGACGAAGCGACGCCGCGUGCGGGAAGAAGGCCUUCGGGUUGUAAACCGCUGUCGGGAGUUAAGAAAUGCAAGGAUGUUAAUAGCAUCUUUGUUUGACUAAGGCUCCGGAGGAAGCCACGGCUAACUCUGUGCCAGCAGCCGCGGUAAUACAGAGGCGGCAAGCGUUGUUCGGAAUUAUUGGGCGUAAAGAGCACGUAGGCGGCUGUGUAAGUCGGUUGUGAAAGCCUUCCGCUUAACGGAAGAACGGCAUCCGAUACUGCAUAGCUCGAGUGCGGGAGGGGAGAGUGGAACUUCUGGUGGAGCGGUGAAAUGCGUAGAUAUCAGAAGGAACACCGGCGGCGAAGGCGACUCUCUGGCCCGUAACUGACGCUGAGUGUGCGAAAGCUAGGGGAGCAAACGGGAUUAGAUACCCCGGUAGUCCUAGCCGUAAACGAUGGGCACUAGGUAGAGGGGUUUUGAUUAUCUCUCUGCCGGAGCUAACGCAUUAAGUGCCCCGCCUGGGGAGUACGGCCGCAAGGCUAAAACUCAAAAGAAUUGACGGGGGCUCGCACAAGCGGUGGAGCAUGUGGCUUAAUUCGAUGCAACGCGAAGAACCUUACCGGGGUUUGACAUGGUAGAAGUAGGAGCCCGAAAGGGCAACGAACGGUAUCCAGUCCGUAACUAUCACAGGUGUUGCAUGGCUGUCGUCAGCUCGUGUCGUGAGACGUUGGGUUAAGUCCCCUAACGAGCGAAACCCUUGUCUUUAGUUGCCAACAGGUCAUGCUGGGUACUCUAAAGAGACUGCCGUCGUCAAGACGGAGGAAGGUGGGGAUGACGUCAAGUCAUCAUGGCCCUUAUAUCCCGGGCUGCACACGUGCUACAAUGGUCGGUACAAAGGGAUGCUAAACCGCAAGGCGGAGCGAAACCCAGAAAGCCGAUCUCAGUUCAGAUUGGAGGCUGAAACCCGCCUCCAUGAAGUAGGAAUCGCUAGUAAUCGCGGAUCAGCUACGCCGCGGUGAAUAUGUUCCCGAGCCUUGUACACACCGCCCGUCAAGCCACCCAAGCAAGAUGCACCCAAAAUCAUUGGCCUAACCAGCAAUGGAGGGAAGUGCUUAAGGUGUGUUUUGUGAGGA